GCCGGAGUAGCUCAGCUGGUUGCUAAUUGCAAGUAAAGAGUGCUACGCUCAUGACGUAGUGGUCGUGGGUUCGAAUCCCACCUCCGGCA
This 89-nucleotide transfer RNA is filed under the name Candidatus Aenigmatarchaeota archaeon. RNAcentral describes it as "tRNA-Met". It matches the Rfam family "tRNA". From Rfam's summary of the family: Transfer RNA (tRNA) molecules are approximately 80 nucleotides in length. Their secondary structure includes four short double-helical elements and three loops (D, anti-codon, and T loops). Further hydrogen bonds mediate the characteristic L-shaped molecular structure. tRNAs have two regions of fundamental functional importance: the anti-codon, which is responsible for specific mRNA codon recognition, and the 3' end, to which the tRNAs corresponding amino acid is attached (by aminoacyl-tRNA synthetases). tRNAs cope with the degeneracy of the genetic code in two manners: having more than one tRNA (with a specific anti-codon) for a particular amino acid; and 'wobble' base-pairing, i.e. permitting non-standard base-pairing at the 3rd anti-codon position. The record is from RNAcentral. Lineage: Archaea; Nanobdellati; Candidatus Aenigmatarchaeota.